CCUACGGGCGGCAGCAGUGAGGAAUAUUGGUCAAUGGACGAGAGUCUGAACCAGCCAAGUAGCGUGCAGGUUGACUGCCCUAUGGGUUGUAAACUUCUUUUAUAUGGGAAUAAAAUGUUCCACGUGUGGGAUUUUGUAUGUACCCUAUGAAUAAGGAUCGGCUAACUACGUGCCAGCAGCCGCGGUAAUACGGAGGAUCCGAGCGUUAUCCGGAUUUAUUGGGUUUAAAGGGAGCGUAGGUGGAUUGUUAAGUCAGUUGUGAAAGUUUGCGGCUCAACCGUAAAAUUGCAGUUGAAACUGGCAGUCUUGAGUACAGUAGAGGUGGGCGGAAUUCGUGGUGUAGCGGUGAAAUGCUUAGAUAUCACGAAGAACUCCGAUUGCGAAGGCAGUUCACUGGACUGCAACUGACACUGAGGCUCGAAAGUGUGGGUAUCAAACAGGAUUAGAUACCCGAGUAGUC
RNAcentral lists this ribosomal RNA (460 nucleotides) under uncultured bacterium. Its description in RNAcentral is "partial 16S ribosomal RNA". It matches the Rfam family "Bacterial small subunit ribosomal RNA", at positions 338 to 795 of the family's 1533-position model. The record is from RNAcentral.